GACGAACGCUGGCGGCGUGCUUAACACAUGCAAGUCGAACGGAAAGGCCCCUUCGGGGGUACUCGAGUGGCGAACGGGUGAGUAACACGUGAGUAACCUGCCCUUGACUUCGGGAUAACUUCAGGAAACUGGGGCUAAUACCGGAUAGGAAUCCUUGCUGCAUGGUGGGGGUUGGAAAGCUUCGGCGGUUUUGGAUGGACUCGCGGCUUAUCAGCUUGUUGGUGGGGUAGUGGCUUACCAAGGCUUUGACGGGUAGCCGGCCUGAGAGGGCGACCGGCCACAUUGGGACUGAGAUACGGCCCAGACUCCUACGGGAGGCAGCAGUGGGGAAUAUUGCACAAUGGGCGGAAGCCUGAUGCAGCAACGCCGCGUGCGGGAUGACGGCCUUCGGGUUGUAAACCGCUUUCAGCAGGGGCGAAGCUUGUGGUGACGGUACCUGCAGAAGAAGCACCGGCUAGCUACGUG
RNAcentral lists this ribosomal RNA (465 nucleotides) under uncultured bacterium. RNAcentral's name for it is "partial 16S ribosomal RNA". It matches the Rfam family "Bacterial small subunit ribosomal RNA", at positions 28 to 507 of the family's 1533-position model. The record is from RNAcentral.